UGGGGAAUUUUCCGCAAUGGGCGCAAGCCUGACGGAGUGACGCCGCGUGGGGGACGAAGGCCUUCGGGUCGUAAACCCCUGUCAGAGGGGACGAAGGGGUCGGCCGUGCUGAGCGGCGGGCCUUGACGGUACCCUCAGAGGAAGCCCCGGCCAACUCUGUGCCAGCAGCCGCGGUAAGACAGAGGGGGCAAGCGUUGCUCGGAAUUACUGGGCGUAAAGGGCGUGUAGGCGGAUCGGCAAGUCGGUUGUGAAAGCCUGCGGCUCAACCGCAGAAGGGCGUCCGAAACUGCCGGUCUGGAGGGGUGGAGAGGAGACUGGAAUUCCCGGUGUAGCGGUGAAAUGUGUAGAGAUCGGGAGGAACACCGGUGGCGAAGGCGGGUCUCUGGCCACACCCUGACGCUGAGGCGCGAAAGCGUGGGGAGCAAACGG
RNAcentral lists this ribosomal RNA (429 nucleotides) under uncultured bacterium. Its description in RNAcentral is "bacterial SSU rRNA". It matches the Rfam family "Bacterial small subunit ribosomal RNA", at positions 355 to 775 of the family's 1533-position model. The record is from RNAcentral.